ACCUUUGCACAGGUGUGUGUGUGUGUGUGUGUGUGUAUAUAUAUAUAUAUAUAUAUAUACACACACACACAUAUAUAUGUAUAUAUGU
Molecule: non-coding RNA, 88 nt
Organism: Podarcis lilfordi (Lilford's wall lizard)
Lineage: Eukaryota; Metazoa; Chordata; Lepidosauria; Squamata; Lacertidae
Source: the annotation of a GenBank genome assembly